UCCCUGGUGGCUCAGUGGUAAAGAAUCUGCCUGCAAUGCAGAAGAUCCAGGUUUGAUUCCUGGAUUGGGAA
Molecule: transfer RNA, 71 nt
Filed under: Ovis aries (sheep)
Lineage: Eukaryota; Metazoa; Chordata; Mammalia; Artiodactyla; Bovidae
Rfam family: tRNA
About the family: Transfer RNA (tRNA) molecules are approximately 80 nucleotides in length. Their secondary structure includes four short double-helical elements and three loops (D, anti-codon, and T loops).
Source: Rfam by way of RNAcentral